Molecule: small nucleolar RNA, 92 nt
Organism: Cornus florida
Lineage: Eukaryota; Viridiplantae; Streptophyta; Magnoliopsida; Cornales; Cornaceae
Product: small nucleolar RNA snR60/Z15/Z230/Z193/J17
Exons: 1
Source: RefSeq, a predicted model, not a curated record
AUGGGUCAUGUGAUGAUCAGAAGCAUAGUUCAAAUGAUAUCCUUGUGAUUAUAUAUAAUUUGAAUGUCUUUCGCUCCUAUCUGAUGACUCCU